UACGUAGGGUGCAAGCGUUAAUCGGAAUUACUGGGCGUAAAGCGUGCGCAGGCGGUUGUGUAAGACAGAUGUGAAAGCCCUGGGCUCAACCUGGGAAUGGCAUUGGAUACUGGCGGACUGGAGUGCGGUAGAGGAUGGCGGAAUUCCCGGUGUAGCAGUGAAAUGCGUAGAGAUCGGGAGGAACAUCUGUGGCGAAGGCGGCCAUCUGGACCAGCACUGACACUGAGGCACGAAAGCGUGGGGAGCAAACAGG
This 253-nucleotide ribosomal RNA is filed under the name uncultured bacterium. RNAcentral describes it as "partial 16S ribosomal RNA". It matches the Rfam family "Bacterial small subunit ribosomal RNA", at positions 524 to 776 of the family's 1533-position model. The record is from RNAcentral.